Molecule: ribosomal RNA, 497 nt
Filed under: uncultured bacterium
Lineage: Bacteria
Description: partial 16S ribosomal RNA
Rfam family: Bacterial small subunit ribosomal RNA
Source: RNAcentral
GAUGAACGCUGGCGGCGUGCCUAAUACAUGCAAGUCGAGCGAACAGACGAGGAGCUUGCUCCUUUGACGUUAGCGGCGGACGGGUGAGUAACACGUGGGUAACCUACCUAUAAGACUGGGAUAACUUCGGGAAACCGGAGCUAAUACCGGAUAAUAUUUCGAACCGCAUGGUUCGAUAGUGAAAGAUGGCUUUGCUAUCACUUAUAGAUGGACCUGCGCCGUAUUAGCUAGUUGGUAAGGUAACGGCUUACCAAGGCAACGAUACGUAGCCGACCUGAGAGGGUGAUCGGCCACACUGGAACUGAGACACGGUCCAGACUCCUACGGGAGGCAGCAGUAGGGAAUCUUCCGCAAUGGGCGAAAGCCUGACGGAGCAACGCCGCGUGAGUGAUGAAGGUCUUCGGAUCGUAAAACUCUGUUAUUAGGGAAGAACAAACGUGUAAGUAACUGUGCACGUCUUGGCGGUACCUAAUCAGAAAGCCACGGCUAACUACGUG